RNA transcript from Lagenorhynchus albirostris (white-beaked dolphin), 3951 nucleotides. It is a transcript of the gene named actin binding LIM protein family member 2, with no coding region annotated. Lineage: Eukaryota; Metazoa; Chordata; Mammalia; Artiodactyla; Delphinidae. The transcript is spliced from 23 exons. The record is from RefSeq and is a predicted model, not a curated record.
GGACGGAGACAGCCGGGCAGGCGGGCGGGCGGCCCUUCGCGCUGGUAGGCGCGGCACCUGCGGGCAGAAGCAUCGGCUGCGCAGAGCCCAGACGACCCGACUCCGAGCUGCCGCUGAGAUGAGCGCAGUGUCGGAGCCCCAGGCUGCCCACGGUGCCCCGGAGAAGCCGGCCAGCACGGCGAUCCUGUGUAACACCUGCGGGAACGUGUGCAGGGGGGAGGUGCUGCGGGUGCAGAGCAAGUACUUCCACAUCCAGUGCUUCGUCUGCAAAGAAUGCGGCUGUGACCUGGCCGAGGGCGGCUUCUUCGCGCGGCAGGGCGAGUACAUCUGCACCCAGGACUACCAGAGGCUGUACGGGACCCGCUGCUUCAGCUGCGAUCAGUUCAUCGAGGGCGAGGUGGUGUCGGCGCUGGGCAAGACCUACCACCCAAACUGCUUCGUGUGUGCCGUCUGCCGGUUGCCCUUCCCGCCCGGGGACCGAGUGACCUUCAACGGCAAGGAAUGCAUGUGCCAGAAGUGCUCCCUGCCCACGGCGGCGGGCGGCAGCGCGCCCCUGUCCCAGGGCCUCUGGAGUUGCAAGGGCUGCGGAGUGGAGAUCAAAAACGGCCAGUCCCUGGUGGCCCUGGAGAAACACUGGCAUCUGGGCUGUUUCAAGUGCAAGACGUGCGGGAAACAACUGAACGCGGAGUAUAUCAGCAAGGAUGGGCUGCCCUACUGUGAGGCGGACUAUCACAGCAAGUUCGGGAUCCGCUGCGAUGGCUGUGAGAAGUACAUCACGGGGCACGUGCUGGAGGCGGGGGAGAAGCACUUCCACCCUCUGUGUGCGCUAUGUGUCGGGUGCGGCCGGAUGUUCGCGGAAGGCGAGGAGAUGUAUCUGCAAGGCUCCUCCAUCUGGCACCCGGCGUGUCGACAGGCAGCCAGAACUGAAGACAAAAGCAAGGAAACCAGAACCUCUUCAGAGAGCAUUUCCGUCCCUGCUUCCAGCACCUCAGGGUCUCCGAGCCGCGUGAUUUAUGCCAAGCUGGGUGAUGAGAUCCUUGACUACAGAGACCUGGCCGCUCUCCCUAAGAACAAGGCCAUCUACAGCAUCGACCGCCCCGACAUGAUCUCCUACUCGCCCUUCAUCAGCCACUCGGUGGGGGACAGGCAGAGCUGCAGCGAGUCCCCACGGCUGCUCUCGCCGACGCCGCCCGAGGGGUAUCAGGAUGACCGCUCCUACAAGCAGUGCCGGACCUCCAGCCCGAGCUCCACCGGGUCGGUCAGCCUCGGCCGUUACACCCCGACCUUGCGGUCGCCCCAGCACUACAGCCGUCCAGCUGGUACUGUGAGUGUUGGUACCAGUAGCUGCCUGUCCCUGUCCCAACACCCAAGCCCUACCUCCGUGUUCAGACAUCAUUACAUCCCCUACUUCCGAGGCAGUGAAAGUGGCCGGAGCACCUCCAGCCUCUCCGUGCUCUCAGACAACAAGCCUCCCCCCUCCACCUACCAGCAGGCUCCUCGCCACUUCCACGUCCCAGACACUGGCGUCAAAGAUAACAUCUAUAGGAAACCCCCCAUCUACAAGCAGCAUGGUCCUGUAGCCCAAUCCCCAAUUUCCAAGCUCUCGGGCCUGAUGUCAGUCUUGUCCCUGGUGGUGCACAAGGCAGGGUGCUCCAAAAGGCUAGAAGGUCCGAGCCCUCCGCAGGCUGCAGCCGGGCGGCGAUCGGAUGGGGAGGACGGAAGUUUCGACGCGGAUAACAGGAAGCAGAAGACCAACUGGCUGCUUCUCAAGGGGGACGGAGACACUAGGACCAACUCUCCAGACCUAGACAGCCAGUCUUUGGCCCACAGUAGCGGGACUGAUAGAGGUCCUCUCCAAACGAUGCCAGGGGACAACAUUUACUCACGGUUCCCCUAUUCCAAGUCUGACCCUGUCCCAGGACAUGGCAAGAAUGGCUUGGACCACCGGAAUGCCAAUCUGGCCCCUUGUGGAGCAGACCUGGAUGCCAGCUGGGGCACGCGAGAGUACAAGGUAAGAGGGGCCGCCCGAUCCCGCGCUGACCUCCUGCACCUGCCCAGGUUAAAAGUUCCUUUUGUGCUUUCCCUGUGAAGUGUGUGUGUCAGAUGCAGACGCAAAUCUAUCCUUAUGACGCCCUCAUCGUCACAAACCGAAUCCGCGUGAAGCUGCCUAAAGACGUGGACCGGACGAGACUGGAGAGACACUUGUCGCCCGAGGAGUUCCAGGAAGUGUUUGGGAUGAGCAUGGAAGAGUUUGACCGCCUGGCCCUCUGGAAAAGGAACGACCUCAAGAAGAAAGCCCUGCUGUUUUGACGCGCCGAGGCCCUGACCAUGGGCACGCCUGCGGGAGCCACCAGACCCCUCCUCUUGCACUUGGCUUCGGCUUCUCUGUGUCCACGGUGGACGGUGGGCGCCUGGAAGGGCCGGGCUGGGGCCUGGGGGCGGGAGGAGGUCCCAGAGCAGGUGCAGCCCCCCCCACCCCCCGUUUCUGCCAGCAGCGCUCCCGCCCGUAGUUUAGGGCCCAGACGCCUGGCUUUGCACUACUCCUUCCCCGCUGUUGCUUGCCAUCACGGAGAUGCUGCAAGGUCACUGCCCCGGAGAUGGGGGAACAGACAAGGGCAGCCCACCCCCCAGGCCUCCGGGCAGUGCCCACCCCACGCUGGUAGGACGGAGGCGAUGGGACCGGAGAUUUGAGGAGGCCUGUCGAUGACAGGGUCAUGGGUGGGUGGGCGCACGGCGUGGCCCCCCUCACCCGCUCAGCCUUAGGAGGCACGGCCUGGCACACGGGCCCCCCACCCCCGAGGCAGGGGGAGUGCCACCCAGGGCUACAAGAAGCAUGGGGGCUCGGUUUUUACGGCCUUUGUGAUGAAUCGGUGUUUAGGGAGGAACUUCAGUCUAGACAGGCACCUUCUGCCAGGGCCCCCCGUGCACUGCAUCAUUUUUCUUCCAGAUCAUCCCUUAGAUGCCUAAAUGAUAUCUUUAGAGUAACACAAAAGUUUUUAUUUUAUUAAAAAGUAGAGCCUACUUAAAGACGCCAUAUAUAAAGAGUUUAAUUCUAUGGUCCCACCGCAGGGGAGCACCUCCAGCCUGAUUCUCCACUGUUCGCAUCUGCGUGGUUUCGGGUUUGGGGUAUGUUCCUAACACACAGGACUCCUUGUCUGUUUUCUUUGUGCUUUUUUGCUUUUUGACCUGUCAUACAGGUACCCCGAAAGGCAGACCCACUCCCCGCACCCCCAUAAUGCUGUGUGUAAGUACACGUAAAGUACAGCCACCACUGUUUUCCUCGCUGUCAUUUUCCAAGUCUUGGAGAGAAGACAUCCUCCCCUGACGGCCAGUGCCCCAGAAUGAAGGAUUUCCAUGUCCUCUUGGUGGCAUGGCCAGGGGUGUCCCACCUUCCCCCCUUCUCCCCUAUAAAACACAGACACCCCCAGGGAGGGAUGCUCGUGCCCGGUCCUGAGACCGACAGCCAGACCCUCGGGGAGACGGGACGGGAGGUGGCACCUGGAUCACAAAGUCAGCAGGGCAUCCACGGCAGGAGGCCGGCGGGUCCCCGCGGGAAGGCGUCCUGCUUGUGAUUAGGUGUGGGCUAGAGUGUGGUGCCUGAUGCGGAAUGUUUGUCAAUGCGUUGAGAGGCCUGUGAAACACUGCAGAAGUGUCCCCGGAGUCUGUCCCCCUCCCCGUCUCUGUGAAGCUGCAUCUUUCUGUGUGUCCUCGAUGUUCCCAUCCGUGCGUCACCGUCACUCAGCUUCCUUUUGGCCCCGUAACACGCCAGUCUCUCUGCGCGCCCGGCUUCUCACCAGCCCAGCUUGGCCAGGGAGCGGAGUUCGCAGCACCUGGUACGCGUCCCUCCACUCUGCGAUCUGAGCCCUGGCCACUGGAAACCCCCGGUUUCUCACUAGUGAACGUCAUGUUGGACUAGGGGAGCCUGGAAAAAUAAAGGAUGAUGUAUUAUAA